AUUGAACGCUGGCGACAUGCCUUACACAUGCAAGUCGAACGGCAGCACGGGUGCUUGCACCUGGUGGCGAGUGGCGAACGGGUGAGUAAUACAUCGGAACAUGUCCUGUAGUGGGGGAUAGCCCGGCGAAAGCCGGAUUAAUACCGCAUACGAUCUACGGAUGACAGCGGGGGACCUUCGGGCCUCGCGCUAUAGGGUUGGCCGAUGGCUGAUUAGCUAGUUGGUGGGGUAAAGGCCUACCAAGGCGACGAUCAGUAGCUGGUCUGAGAGGACGACCAGCCACACUGGGACUGAGACACGGCCCAGACUCCUACGGGAGGCAGCAGUGGGGAAUUUUGGACAAUGGGCGAAAGCCUGAUCCAGCAAUGCCGCGUGUGUGAAGAAGGCCUUCGGGUUGUAAAGCACUUUUGUCCGGAAAGAAAUCCUUGGCCCUAAUACGGUCGGGGGAUGACGGUACCGGAAGAAUAAGCACCGGCUAACUACGUG
Molecule: ribosomal RNA, 486 nt
Filed under: uncultured bacterium
Lineage: Bacteria
Description: partial 16S ribosomal RNA
Rfam family: Bacterial small subunit ribosomal RNA
Source: RNAcentral